UACGGAGGAUGCAAGCGUUAUCCGGAAUGAUUGGGCGUAAAGCGUCCGCAGGUGGCUGUGUAAGUCUGCUGUUAAAGAGUGAGGCUCAACCUCAUAAAAGCAGUGGAAACUACACGGCUAGAGUGCGUUCGGGGCAGAGGGAAUUCCCAGUGUAGAGGUGAAAUUCGUAGAUAUUGGGAAGAACACCGGUGGCGAAGGCGGCUCUCUGGACCGAGACUGACGCUGAGGCGCGAAAGCGUGGGGAGCAAACAGG
This 253-nucleotide ribosomal RNA is filed under the name uncultured bacterium. Its description in RNAcentral is "partial 16S ribosomal RNA". It matches the Rfam family "Bacterial small subunit ribosomal RNA", at positions 524 to 776 of the family's 1533-position model. The record is from RNAcentral.